GAGAAGCAUAUAUUCCAGCAUGCAUGGGGAUUUUCUGCUGGAAGGUAGUAACUCCACAGCCCCACUGGGAUCAGAGGCUCACAGCUCUGACAGCUUGAAGAGAUUGCUGUAAUUAUAAGAAUGGAAAUAGUACUGAUUAUCAAGAGCUCGUUAGUGCAUAGUACGGAGAUGAUAUCAUCUUUUGAAAAGUCUUAAGAGGCUGCAAUCUGGCUUUCAUUUGCAAAUUUCUGUUCCCACCCUUAGUUUUUCUUUGUUCAUAUUUUGAGAGGAUAAACAAGCACUUUUUUUUGCAUUGAAAUAUGAACUAUUCCCAAGAGAAGAUGCUCCUCUAGGGGAAAUGCACUGGCCCUACCUGGGCCGAUGGAGAAUGACAUUGAAUGAGAAGUUGGCUGCUGCCAUCAGUGGAGAUGAUGCCAGAAGAACGAAAAGACCUGGACCUUGCUUCUAUCCACCCAGCUACCCAUCCUCCUUCCUCAUUCUUAUUUCCCCAAUAUUUUUCCCCCUCUGGAAAUAGGGGAGGCCUCUGAUGUGCCCUCAGUCAUACUUCUCUAUUUCUCUAGUCUUCUUAUUUUAAAAUUAGUAUACUAAUAUUUAUAAAGCUGUCAUGAAUACUUAUAAUUAAUAUCAAAUUUAUUAAUCAAUAAACAUGAUAUAAUUAAUUAUAUUAAUUUAUAAAUAAUAACUUAUAAACAUG
RNAcentral lists this long non-coding RNA (694 nucleotides) under Homo sapiens (human). RNAcentral describes it as "HSALNT0115960". The record is from RNAcentral. Lineage: Eukaryota; Metazoa; Chordata; Mammalia; Primates; Hominidae.